CUGGAAUUCACUGUCACAAACAGAGCCCCAGCUGGUGACUCCAGACCUGGAGUGUAAUUUGACUCAUUUGAGAGUUUAGAACCAGCCAGAGCCUUCCCCCUACAACUCCCCUGGGGGGGGAGGGGCAUGAGACAGGUCACUUUGCUCAAAUGACAAGGUGGUGAUGACCCGCGACUCUGUUGUGAUGCAGUGAUUGUUGGGUCAGUCCCCAGGGGCUGCAGCAUUUCACACCAGGCUGUCGCCCAGAGCACAUGGCUGCUGCCUGUGGGUCUGAGUACAGGGACCAGGGUGAUGGAGCAGGGCCUUUGGGACCAACCUGCUUCCAUUGCUAAAGGGAACGUGAGACACAGAAGGAUGAAGGAAAAUAUUCUUGUCCAACUGCAACGUAACCUCUUAUUUCUGUUGAUUUGAUCACUGCAGCUUGUCUGUCAGAAGUAGUAAGAGAACCUGUUCCUAUCAAGAGGUAAGGAAUGCACCUUCUCCUAGCAAUGGAGUGGAAACUAACCAAUCUGAGUGUACUUUCAGGUGAAGGAAGUGAAUCUAGCCUUUGCUGUCAAAGGCUACAAGCAGUUUCAUAAGAAUAAAGCAGGAUACAUAACGAAAGCUUCUGAGGUUACAGAAGUAUUGACUUGUUCCAAUCAAGAAUAAGGAAACCACUGAUACCUACCAGAUUAACAAUACAUCUGAUUGUAUGGAGAGAAAGAGAGAAACCAAUCCAGCAAUUCAUCACGCAGAAGAAAGUCAUAUUUCGAGAUGCAAGGAUGACACAUGGCUGUAGUUUACAGGAAGGAAUUAGCGGAUCCAUCCUUUUAAGGAGGUAAGAAAUAUGGGAAUGGUGUAUUGUAAUAGUCAAUGGUUCUGGACAUACUUUCAGGUGGAAGGAAGGUAACUGAUGUAAUCUUAAUCUCUCUAAAGAGCAUGAGAAGUUGCUGUACGGAAUAAAGCACAAAAAAUGGGAGCUACCUGUUCAGAUGAAAGGAAAGUAGUUGGUAAUUCUAACCAAUGAUGAUGAUCUCUGCUCCUUUUUCCUUCCCAGAGAAGGCCAUUGGUUGUUCCUACAAGGAUGUAACAGGGAAGUUAUUUCAAAGAACAAGUGCACUAACCAAAGUGUGAAGAUGAGCAUUGAGCCUGUUCUUCCAUUUGCAGAGAGGAGUUGUCCAGCUGAUUCUAUUUGUGCCUAAUUGAUCAUUGUUGCUUAUUUUUCAGAUGUCAAGAACUAAGUGGAACUGAUAAUUUCUAUCAAGAGGUAAGGAAGGCACCUCCUCACAGCAUGGAGGCAGGAAUUAAAGGCUCUGUUUCUAUUUUCAGGUGAAAGGAAGGUCUUACCAUUCAAGGGAGGAUGAGAGGCUGCUGAAUUUAAGAAAAAAGAAGUCAGACAGGUUUUGCUCUUCUGAGAUAUGAACAGACCAGGUGGUCAUUCCUACCAGGGAGAAGUGAGGCUCAGUGGCUGUCCCGGGCAAGGAGACAAAAAAAGCCACUUCAAGUAGUUCAGCUAGUCGCAAAUCUGAAUCAAGUCUGCAGAACAUCACAGACAUGGAGAUGAGAGAAAUGCAGCUGAGUUGAACGUUGAGGGUGUGAACUUCAGGAAGUUGCUAGAAGAUCUACAGAAAGGAAACAAGCAAAACUCAUCACUGCUACCAAGAGGAGGAGAGUUACAGAUGCUCAGGAUUUGAGUACAACGGAACAGGAAUGGAGCUAAACAGAUCCAACACCUGAAAGGAUGAUUGGAUCUCAAAAUAUGAAAGACCCUUCAUUCAAUAAAGCAACAGGAUUGGCUCUGAGGAGAGGUAAGCAACAUUUGGAAAGAGCCAGCAUGGACAGUAUUCAAGACACAAUGUUCAAAAGUUGCUGCUGGGAUGGAAGCAAAGAAGAAAGCCCUGGAGACAGGUUAGUGCUGGGACACAGACUAUCCUGGAGGGGCCUGGGACAGGGUGUGUAACCAUAGCGACCAGCGGGUCCUUUCCCCACUGUGGUCCUGGCUCGCAUGCACAGGGUGAAACCGAUCGCCGUGUUUGGGGUCGGGAAGGAAUUUUCCUCCAGGGCAGAUUGGCCAGAGACCCUGGAGGUUUUUCGCCUUCCUCUGGGGCAUCGAGCAGGGACCAGCCCUUAGGGCCAUUUAGGAACAGACAUAAUAAAAUCCAUCAGAGAGAA
Long non-coding RNA from Mauremys mutica (yellowpond turtle), 2151 nucleotides. RefSeq lists it as uncharacterized. The transcript is spliced from 8 exons. Lineage: Eukaryota; Metazoa; Chordata; Testudines; Geoemydidae. The record is from RefSeq and is a predicted model, not a curated record.